CUGGUACAAGAGACCCCUAGGACUGCUCUUUGUGUCACCUGGGUGUCUUUCACCCAAAGCAUUUCCAAGCAAGGGAAGCAUUUGUAAAGCUUACCAAGUAAAUUGACAGGCCUCCUCCUUCCACACAAAUGCACAGAGAAUUCAGGGAAUUCAGGAGCUCUGAGACUGUUCUCUAGCAACACUCCUCAAUAAUGCAGCUUGGAGAGACAAAUGCUAAGGGCCUGCUGCUGAGCUGGGCACUGCUGGCAGAGCUGGCCUCAAGUUGGUCUAACAGAGAUUUGCACAAUGACUCAAAGCUGCACCAUCCCAAAACUGUAAUUACAGCUGGACACAUCUCUCCUAACAAAGGCAAUUGUGACCCCCUCAGACAAAAAUUCCAUAUAGAAGUGUCACAGUUCCCAAGAGCUUUGCUGGAUUCUGGGCCCAGUUCAUUCCUCCUGGCCAAACAGACCCUCAGGAGAUUCUAAUGGGCUCCCACAAAACACCUACAAGCUGAGAAUGUCCCAAGGCUUCAACAGGACACCAGACAAACAUUAGGAUGUCACAGAGGGAUAUGCUCCGUCAAGGAGAGUUGUAAUUUUAAUCUGGUUUCUGGGCACUUCUGCUGCUCCUGACACAGGUCCAGCAGGGAAAACCAUGACACCCCAUCUAUCUGGAUCUGCAGGCCAUGCAUGAGAUGUGUAGCCUGGCCCCAGGACAGACCAUGUGUUCUGUCAUUUCACAUUAGAAAAGCUCUGGGGUCCCUAUCCCAAAGGGAAGAAGACAUCAUUGCACAGCUCCAAAGCAUACGAACACAAGCUUUUUGUAGGAGCCAGAAAGCCCAAAGAACCCUUGCUCAAGGUGGCAGGGUCAUGGUUUACCAAAUCCACUCUCUGUACCAAGGAGAAACAACUAUUCUUAAAUUCUUGGAUGUAGCCUGGAAAAUGUUUAGUAAUAAAAUUCGCAGAGAAACUGUGAGUUUUCCCUUGGCAGUCUAUCUCAGGUUCACAGGACAGCCUGCUCUUCUGUGACUUACUUGAAAGGCCUGCCAGCAGAUUCCUCAUUCCAGGCUCUUGAAACCUGAAGGUUAGUCCC
Molecule: long non-coding RNA, 1074 nt
Filed under: Cyanistes caeruleus (blue tit)
Lineage: Eukaryota; Metazoa; Chordata; Aves; Passeriformes; Paridae
Description: lncRNA (ENSCCEG00000015305.1)
Source: RNAcentral